AUGCUUCCGUAUCUUUUAUAAUCUUCAUCUCUCUUCUUUAUUCUCUUUUUGUCUACCCACUUAUCCUUUUUUUUAUUCUUCAUCUCUCUUCUUUAUCAAUACUGCAUCCUUUCUCUAAAAUCAAGAACAACGCUGCAACUCUCUAUUUCUCACAGUAACCGCUCGGCUCUCUCUCAAUCGUUCCAGCCAUCUCCUCCCUCUAACUUCCGCCGCCGCGGCUCCUCCUCACACGACUCGCACACACCAGUCACAUCUCCCUCGCCUCUCUUCUCUCCCGUUGCCGCCGACUGCUGCUGCUUCGCCGAAGUCGCUGCUGCUUCGCCGAGUCGCUGCUGCUUCGCCGAGUCGCGGUUGCUGCCUGGAACUGCUGCCGCUCGCCGCCUGCGGCUGGAACCGCUGCUGCUGCUCGCCCGCCAACUGCUGCUCGCCGCCUGACGGAGGCAACUGCUGCCUGAGCACCGAGCCGCUGCUGUAGGGAGGCCAACGAACAGCCGGGUCUCGAUCGCUUGUCGCACGGUCUCCGCCUGAAGUCGCCGAGUCAGCCGCCUUCGACUGCUGCUGUCGCCGAGGAGUCCGCCGACUGCUGCUGUUCGUUGAGGAGUCCGCCGGCUGCUGUUGCAGAGUUCCGACGGCCACCACCGUCGUCGGCUGCCGCUGCCUCGCCCAAGACCGACUUCUGCUGCCAAGCACCGAACGCUGCUGCUGUAGGGAGGCCGGCGAACAGCCGGGUGUUCGCCGUUUCCAGUUCUUCUCCGAGUUCCGAAGCCGGUGAGAGCUCCAUCAUCGCGUCGUCUCGUUCGUCUCUCGGUUCAGGCGAAGUCGCCCCUGCUCAGCUGGACGACCUCCGCCUCCUCUUCAUCGGUCCGCGUCGACGUCAUUUGGUACCCGUCCCCGGUUUAAUGAAAACAGGUGAAUAUCAAGGUGGGGGUGGACGAAUUUACACAAGGUCUCACCUUGAACUUGGCAGGCACCGAAUGAAGAGCUCCUUAGAAACCUUAGGUGUGGAAAUGAGAAUGAAAUGAGGGUGGCUGCUGAUAAGGUGAUGGACAAAGCAUGGCUGCAUAGGCGUGGGAAAAAAAAAAAGGGUGCAGCAGGCUCAAGAGAAGAUAGGGGAGUGUGCAGCACAUGUCUCCAUACCUUAUUGUUUUUCACAUUUUCUUGAACUUAGGGGGGGUGGCAGAGUACUGUAGCAACACUGUUGAGUACUGUAGCAAUAACUAUUGAGUACUGUAGCGGUACUGAUUGUUUUGUGUCUACAAUAAAUCUUUCAUUGGUUCUGUAUUAGAAACUUUGGUAUCGAGUUUUUCUAAUAUCGAGCACUUGUAUUCAGAUACAGAUUAAUCGAAUAAUUCUUGUAUCCGA
Salvia miltiorrhiza (redroot sage) is the source of this 1362-nucleotide long non-coding RNA. RefSeq lists it as uncharacterized. The record is from RefSeq and is a predicted model, not a curated record. The transcript is spliced from 2 exons. Lineage: Eukaryota; Viridiplantae; Streptophyta; Magnoliopsida; Lamiales; Lamiaceae.